UCCACGUUAAUCUCUCCUCACCCCCUCUGCUAAUCUCUCACACUCUCUCCCGUACAUAUCUCCUCCAUUCCUCUUCCACCUUUGUUCCCCGUUCUUUUCUUUUCCCCAAAAACCCGCCGCCGCAGCUGUUCAAACUCCGGCCAGUCGCCGGCACCACCACUGUGUUGUUUCUUCUGAUUAAUUCACCCGCGAUUCUUCGAGUUCCUAGGCAAUCCAGACGCAGCCUUGCUGUUUUCGGACGAAUCCAGCCCUGUUCUUCAGCCUCCAGUGUUGUGUUAGCGCGGUUCCGGUUAGAGAGCCUAACAGUAUAGUGCAGUCUUAUCUCUAGCAUUCUAUUAUCAAGAUGCCAAGGAUUAGAGCAGCCGCUUAUAAAGUUUCCCAGAGUUAUCUUUUGUGCUAGGAAAAUCGCAGGAUGAUGCUAGGAGUCUUGGACUAAGUGUGGAUUAGUUAGUACGACUUGUUUCUUUGAAGUUGUAUUAUAGUGUCAGUAUGGUUGUAGUGGAAAACUCAUGUAGUAAGGAACCUAUGUCGUUGUUCGUUUGCAGUAACAGUUUAAACCUUUCGCAGACUUAAACCUGGCAAGAUCUUUGGUCAGGGGUGUAAUGGUAUAUAUUUAUUAUGUUAAUCUA
This is a long non-coding RNA of Daucus carota subsp. sativus, 629 nucleotides long. RefSeq lists it as uncharacterized. The record is from RefSeq and is a predicted model, not a curated record. Lineage: Eukaryota; Viridiplantae; Streptophyta; Magnoliopsida; Apiales; Apiaceae. The transcript is spliced from 3 exons.